UCCAGACUCCUACGGGAGGCAGCAGUGGGGGAUAUUGCACAAUGGGGGGAACCCUGAUGCAGCGACGCCGCGUGGGUGAAGGAGCGUUUCGGCGCGUAAAGCCCUAUCGGCAGGGAAGAAGGAGGACGGUACCUGACUAAGAAGCCCCGGCUAACUACGUGCCAGCAGCCGCGGUAAUACGUAGGGGGCAAGCGUUAUCCGGAUUUACUGGGUGUAAAGGGGGCGCAGACGGCAGCGCAAGCCAGGAGUGAAAGCCCGGGGCCCAACCCCGGGACUGCUCUUGGAACUGCGCGGCUGGAGUGCAGGAGGGGCAGGCGGAAUUCCUGGUGUAGCGGUGAAAUGCGUAGAUAUCAGGAGGAACACCGGUGGCGAAGGCGGCCUGCUGGACUGCGACUGACGUUGAGGCCCGAAAGCGUGGGGAGCAAACAGGAUUAGAUACCCUCGUAAAA
RNAcentral lists this ribosomal RNA (449 nucleotides) under uncultured bacterium. RNAcentral describes it as "bacterial SSU rRNA". It matches the Rfam family "Bacterial small subunit ribosomal RNA", at positions 330 to 793 of the family's 1533-position model. The record is from RNAcentral.